ACGAAAAGCCCAUUUGACAGCCCAACAACCCAACCUUUUGCCUUCCCCAAGCUGUUCGCUCCCCUUCCCCACGUAGAUGCGGCGCCGCAUGGUUCCCCUUCCCCUGCGCUGCUUCCCCUCCACCCGCUCAACUCCCUCCCUCCCUCCCUCCCUCCCCGUGCGUCGGUUCCCUUACCUGGCCAGCAGUACACCAGGGAGCUCCUCACUCCCAUAGGCUGUGGCUCCCUGAUGUCCCUGUCAUAUGUUAAACGGAAUGGCUGAAUGAUGAUCAUAUUAUAAGGAUGGAUCUUUCUAUAUCCUUCAACCCUGUUGUUGUCAUCAAAUGGUGGCUUUUUCAUGUUAAGAGCGAAUUCAAGGUGGACUGGUGUUUUUUCAUAAUUCGUAAGAGCUGGUAAUUAUCACCUCAAAUUUGUUCAUUUUUAUGUUGGUUUCUUAAUCGUAUUGAAAUAGUUAAAUUUUACUUAUACCUUCACACUAU
This 478-nucleotide long non-coding RNA is filed under the name Oryza sativa Indica Group (long-grained rice). RNAcentral describes it as "lncRNA OsLaMu_01g0009060". RNAcentral also lists the same sequence under 2 other names. The record is from RNAcentral. Lineage: Eukaryota; Viridiplantae; Streptophyta; Magnoliopsida; Poales; Poaceae.